UGUUGACCUUGCUGCUGUCCAUAUCCUUGAGAUCCUUCAGAACAGUUCAAUCUGGAGAAGCUUUCAUUUUUUUUGUAAUCUUGUCAAAACAAGCCUGUCCUUUCUGUAGAAACGCUCAACACAAGUGAUAACAACAACAAUAACAGUAAAAUGAAAGAAACUCAGCUGGGUAAAAUGCUAAUAGAUGUGUCAGCUGCUGGCUUUGUUGUUGGUGUCUGUUUGGUUUGAUGAGCACCAUUAAGAAGCGUUCGUCCUUGCUUACUGUUACACAGGAAGCAGAUUUCUUUUUGUUGCUGUCGAGUAAUUAUCCUUUUCAUUAGUUUCCGAGACCCUUUGAAUGCAAGGUCUCCUGGAACUUGCGUUCACUGCGUUCCGUUUCAUAUUAACUGGGAGAAGGCCUUUCACUCUCUUCCAGCAUCGCUAAUAACACCCCCGCCUGCCUCAAGGACACUGCAUCCCUGAUUCCUCUGUACUAGGCUUAGCCAACUACUGUUUCCAGUGAAUCUGUGGUUUCCACACACAAACAGCAGGCAGCCAAAAAGAUGAAUUGUCUGGAACCUAAUAAACGAGUUAAACUACUCUGGAUAUCUCUUCUGCUCCAGGUUUGAGAAGUGCAGAUUGGGCGUGCUGAACUCAGAGCUGUUCCCGCUGAUGGCGCUGAACAGUGCAUCCUCCUGGUUGGGUUUGUCUUUCCCUCCAUCCUGACAGUGGAGGCUCAUGGGAGUGGCUGUGUACCUGCUGUCCUGGUAUCCAAUGACCCGGAUGAAGCCCUCUGCUAGCAUGGCUCUGUCAAUGAGGAAAAGACUGUCUCUACCUCCGCUACGCUCCCCUGCCUCCCGAGCCCGCUCCUUCUCCACCCUUGCUCUGCAGUGGUGGAACGACCUUCCUACAGAUGUCAGGACUGCCCAGUCCCUGACCACAUUCCGGCGCCUCCUUAAGACUCACCUCUUCAAAUAGCACCUGUAGAACUCCUCUGUUGUAUCCUGGGACACUAUCACCCUUCAUUUAAAUGUGCUUUAUUUUGCUCUUAUCUGCCCCCUAUUUUACUGCAUUUAAUCCUGUACUUCAGAAUAUUGUAAUCUGCCAAGUGUUUAACCUGUAGUAUUUUGUACUUAAUCAUAUCCUGAUGUAACUAUCACUAUUUAAUCAUAUCCUGAUGUAACUAUCACUAUUAUCUGCUGUAUUAUUGAAUUAUGGUUUGUCACACUUGAACAAAAAUUAUUGUAUUUCUUGCUCUUAUUGUAUUACUUGUAUUGUAACACUUGAAUGUAUUUGUAUUUGCUUGCGAUUGUAAGUCGCCCUGGAUAAGGGCGUCUGCUAAGAAAUAAAUAAUAAUAAUAAUAAUAUGAAAUAAACAUUCAAUAUGAAAAACCUAUUUGCCUCACACAUUCCCAAUGCUGCUUGAAAAUCAACAUCACAACAAGAACAACCUCAUACUUACAAAUACAGUUAGUAGCAAAAUAAUAGUGUAGUGCCAUAUACAGCAAGUAGACAGACAAUUUGCAUUGGCAUCAUUUUUAGCAACACAUUCCAAUGACAGGAUCAUGUAGCUGCUAUUGACAGGAAAGGUGUUUAAGUCCGUGGCUUGA
Molecule: long non-coding RNA, 1589 nt
Organism: Acipenser ruthenus (sterlet)
Lineage: Eukaryota; Metazoa; Chordata; Actinopteri; Acipenseriformes; Acipenseridae
Exons: 4
Source: RefSeq, a predicted model, not a curated record